Molecule: ribosomal RNA, 265 nt
Filed under: uncultured archaeon
Lineage: Archaea
Description: partial 16S ribosomal RNA
Rfam family: Archaeal small subunit ribosomal RNA
Source: RNAcentral
ACACGACUACAUUAGAUACCCCCUGUAGUCCCAGCCCUAAACGAUGCGCGUUAGGUGUAUCGGUGACCACGAGUCACCGAGGUGCCGAAGGGAAACCGUGAAACGUGCCGCCUGGGAAGUACGGUCGCAAGGCUGAAACUUAAGGAAUUGGCGGGGGAGCACCACAACGGGUGGAGCCUGCGGUUUAAUUGGACUCAACGCCGGGAAGCUCACCGGAUAAGACAGCGGAAUGAUUGCCGGGCUGAAGACCCUGCAUGACCAGCUG